AUCCAGACGAUCUUAACGCCAUACCAGCCAGCAUGGCCCACACUGAGUUCCUGAAUGUAGUAAUUUGUUUCAUGCAGAAACCAUUCUCUGGUUAAAAUAAGCUAGGAAACACUGACUUAUACCAGACUGAAUUUCUGUUUUGUUUUGGUUUUAGCUGUAGGACUUUUUAGACAUUAGUGUAGUAAUGUGCUCUGUUAAUCUCAGAGGCAACUGUGAACAUACGUAGUUUUUCAAAUGAAACAUUUUUGGUGGGGGUUGAGGGUAGGCCCAGGGAACAGUGCCUUUCCACAUAUUGAAGACCCCACCCUAUGGAUACAGUUUGGGAAAUGCCGUCUUGGAAUAACUGUACAUUUCUGUAUAGCAUAAGCCUGUAGGUUCAACCUGUACGUUGGAAAUCUGGAAAUGGUUUUUCAGUGGUGGGAGAAGGGAAUGCUGAUGUGUGUAGAGGGCUCUCUCCCUUCCUUUUCCUUUUUUUCUUUCUCUUUUGGCCUGAAAUCGACUACUUUAAGCUCUUAAGAGAAAGAUAAUGACAUAACUUUAAAAAAAUUGUUGUACAUGUGUGUGCGUGUGUGUGCUUAUACAUCAAGGAAGUAGCUCCUGCUAUGGAAAUGAAUAUUAACUGCUUUUGAGAAUAGCUUUUUUUCCUCCCAGAAUGAAAGUUAGUGAAAUCAGUC
Molecule: long non-coding RNA, 674 nt
Filed under: Bos taurus (domestic cattle)
Lineage: Eukaryota; Metazoa; Chordata; Mammalia; Artiodactyla; Bovidae
Description: long non-coding RNA NONBTAT013733
Source: RNAcentral